Molecule: ribosomal RNA, 253 nt
Filed under: uncultured bacterium
Lineage: Bacteria
Description: partial 16S ribosomal RNA
Rfam family: Bacterial small subunit ribosomal RNA
Source: RNAcentral
UACGUAGGGCGCAAGCGUUGUCCGGAAUUAUUGGGCGUAAAGAGCUCGUAGGCGGUUUGUCGCGUCUGCUGUGAAAACCUAAGGCUUAACCCUGGGCCUGCAGUGGGUACGGGCAGACUAGAGUGCGGUAGGGGAGACUGGAAUUCCUGGUGUAGCGGUGAAAUGCGCAGAUAUCAGGAGGAACACCGGUGGCGAAGGCGGGUCUCUGGGCCGUAACUGACGCUGAGGAGCGAAAGCGUGGGGAGCGAACAGG